GUCCUCUUACCUUUGAGUCUUUAGUUUGUGUCUUAUAAUGAAUUAGGAGGGAAGUUAGUGAAGAGGACAAGAGCUGCUUUAGGAGAAGGAUUGAGAGAAGUAGUAAACUUCAUCUGAUUUUGACUCUUUGGAAGCACCGGCAACACCCGGAUUUGACCUCAUCAACGCCGGCCACCGCUACUUUCAGCCUUCAACCGAAUGCACCUGCCGUUUCUCGCAUCGAUCUACUGAGCUUCACCAACAGCAGCGCAUGCUGCCUUUGUUCUUCGUCCCGACAGCAUCGAACACCAACAGCAGCGCCUGCUGCCUUUGUUCUUCGUCUCGACAACAUCGAACACCAACAGCAGCGCCUGCUGCCUUUGUUUUUCGUUCCAACAGCAUCUAACAGCAACAGCAGCAAGGCUGCCUGCGUUUUGGCGUUUAUCGGACCUCUCGACAGCAGCAAAAAAGCUGUCUACGACUGCGUUUUCAGACCAGCAUCAACAACUGCCAGCGUCGCCCUCGACCUCUCCGCGCCUCGGACUGCACCGGACAGCAGCAGCAGUCGCUGCUGUGCCGCACCAGACAGCAACCAGGCACUGCUGUGCCUUUUCUCGCAGCGUGUAGCUGCUGUGUUUCGCUAGCCACAGCUGCUGUUAGGCUGUUCCUUCGUCUGCAUCGCCAAACAGCAGACCCCCCUGCUGUGUUUCUUUUCGCAUCUAGACAGCCGCAGUCACGGCUGUCCUACCCUUUGUAAUCCUUCGAUUAUUUUGGGUGCAUUUCCAUCUAUCCUAGAUUCAAAGACUUGGGAUUUCUCCUAAAUUCCCCAAGGUUCCUUUAGCGGUGGGGCUCUAAAGGGUUGAAAGGAGCGUUGGUUCGUGAAAGGCUCUUUUGUAAUUAAAGCCUUUUUACUUUUGAACGUUGCGUUUUUGACGUUACGACUAUUUGGAGAUUAAUAGAAAUACCCGUCUCUAGAUAUAGAAAAAUCUAGAUUAGUAGGUUGUUAUUUAUAUUCUCUGUAGCGGAAUUGUAAACGCUUUACUAUUUCCCUUUGUUGGGUGAAUUUCAAUUCCAGAAUCCGGGUUCUCG
This is a long non-coding RNA of Cynara cardunculus var. scolymus (artichoke), 1068 nucleotides long. RefSeq lists it as uncharacterized. The record is from RefSeq and is a predicted model, not a curated record. The transcript is spliced from 2 exons. Lineage: Eukaryota; Viridiplantae; Streptophyta; Magnoliopsida; Asterales; Asteraceae.